CGGCGGGAUACCUCUCCCCACCGAGAGGCAGCUAUCUGGAAGGAUAGAUUAU
Bradyrhizobium sp. LTSP885 is the source of this 52-nucleotide regulatory RNA element. It matches the Rfam family "serC leader". Rfam says of the family: This family is a putative regulatory RNA structure that is found upstream of the serC-serA operon in some alpha-proteobacteria. The final stem of the structure overlaps the ribosome binding site of the serC reading frame. NCBI's taxonomy places the organism in Bacteria, Pseudomonadati, Pseudomonadota, Alphaproteobacteria, Hyphomicrobiales, Nitrobacteraceae. The record is from Rfam.